UAGAUAGAGCAACUGACAUAAAAGUUGAAGCCGGGCAAAUUUACUUCCGGAGCCCCAAAGUAGUGAGAAUCAAUAUGGCGUUGUAUUAGAAAAUAUGUGGUCCAAGUUAAUAUCUCGCAAUUAUUAGCAAAUCGCGAAGGUUGCAUCAACUUUUUUGCACUAUUAAUGAAAAAAAUCAAUGUGACCAUAGUUUUUCAACAAAAAGAUAGCAGAAUACGCCAAUACAUCGCCGUAAAAUUGAUUUCAAGUGUAGCUCGAUUUGAAAGCAUCAGCAGCGACGAAGGCUUAAGAUACUGAAAUUUCCACAUCUAAAUAUCAUAUCACAGCACAAUCUGCGAUAGUGUGGCUUAGUUCGUGUGGCAAAUACAACGAUAUCAUACUCGAUCUAUGGAUGUAUUGUGCUGAUUGAUGUACAACAAGCAUAACGAUGAGCGGAAAUCAGAUUCUGCAGAUUGUUGACUUGAACCAAGUGCUCCACAGCAAAUAGAACAGUUUCCAUUUCUACCUUCAAUGCUGCUUCGUAAAGUAAUCUUUUAUAGGCAGCUGUGAACUGUUGGGCUGUUGGGUUAUUGUUAAAUCCUCCUGCUGAUCGAAUUGCCCCAAAAAAAAGCUCUAAGUGAUCUUGGCUGAACUUGUAUGUAAGUAUGUAUUUCAUUUAUGCAUUUUUUCUUUCAACUAGGUCAGAGAAAAUUUGUUUGAUGUUUGUUAUUGCCACCAAGAGUCCCACAAAUCCUGUCUUUCGGCGAGUGUUGUACAGCAGAUUACCAGAUACAUCUCGCAGAUUUAUAAUGUAGUUAUAAGCUUCUGCUAAAAAUGCCUCCCAAGUUUCUUUGUUGCUUUUUCGAAGAGCAGCCUUAUAACCUUUGGCACACGGGUUUCGAGAGUUAAGAAUGUCGAACAGAUGAUCUAUGAUGCGAAUAAAGUAGACAGUGGCUUCUGAUCCUUGAAAUUGUGGAAGUUUAAGAGUGUUUGUGCAGUAUUCUAUUGCAUCAGAAACACUGGAACUUAGUGUUUGGGCAGCCAAAUUUACUUUCAAAAAUGUUGAAAACAGUAGCAUAACAUCACCAUAACAGUACAUUAAGCACUGUGAGCAGUGGCCAUAUAUACCACUGGUUUAGACUAUGACAAUACAUUGCUUAUAUACAUGUGUAAAACACAGUCAAUACUACAAGUCUGGUGACUCUUCUUGAUUUAAUAAGUAAAUAUUUUGCUCGUGUUAGACAGAGUGUUAUGUAUCAACCUGUGUUAUCAACAGUUUCACAAGUGACUUGCUAUAUUAUACUUCACAAAAAUUUGGUGUAACAGAGAUAAACUCUUCACAUUUUUUCUGUAAAUAAUUUCUGAACGUAUUAAUUACUCACAUCUUGACAUAGCAUAUUCGUUUGCCGACCAGAAACACAAGAAAAAUGUAUUUCUGGUACAAUAAUCCAGUGCAAUAUUCAAUUAUGUACAGUGAACAAUAUACUUUGUACAAAUCGUGAAAAAUCUUUCAAACUGUUAUCUUCAACUCGUUUUACUUAACAAUAAAUAUCGGAGGAUAA
This is a long non-coding RNA of Xenia sp. Carnegie-2017, 1541 nucleotides long. RefSeq lists it as uncharacterized. The transcript is spliced from 3 exons. NCBI's taxonomy places the organism in Eukaryota, Metazoa, Cnidaria, Anthozoa, Malacalcyonacea, Xeniidae. The record is from RefSeq and is a predicted model, not a curated record.